CAAGAGUGGUUGUGAUUACCUGGUUGGACUAGAGUCUCAGUAUUUCUCUGAGGAUCUUUGAAACCACCUGAUCCACCCAUU
This 81-nucleotide small nucleolar RNA is filed under the name Rhinolophus ferrumequinum (greater horseshoe bat). Its description in RNAcentral is "Small nucleolar RNA ZL8 (ENSRFEG00010002729.1)". It matches the Rfam family "Small nucleolar RNA ZL8". Rfam says of the family: Host gene C6orf48. No homologs outside of mammals. The record is from Rfam by way of RNAcentral. Lineage: Eukaryota; Metazoa; Chordata; Mammalia; Chiroptera; Rhinolophidae.